Non-coding RNA from Danio rerio (zebrafish), 75 nucleotides. NCBI's taxonomy places the organism in Eukaryota, Metazoa, Chordata, Actinopteri, Cypriniformes, Danionidae. The record is from Rfam.
GUCUCUGUGGCACAAUCGGUUAGCGCGUUCGGCUGUAAACUAAAAAGGUUGGUGGUUCAAGCCCACCCAGGGACA